This 762-nucleotide ribosomal RNA is filed under the name uncultured bacterium. RNAcentral's name for it is "bacterial SSU rRNA". It matches the Rfam family "Bacterial small subunit ribosomal RNA", at positions 28 to 793 of the family's 1533-position model. The record is from RNAcentral.
GACGAACGCUGGCGGCGUGCUUAACACAUGCAAGUCACGGGGGCCCGCAAGGGUAACCGGCGAACGGGUGCGUAACACGUGAGCAAGCUUCCGAUUAGUGGGGGAUAGCCGGCCUAACGGCCGGGGUAAUACCGCAUACGUUCACCGGACGGCAUCGUCUGGUGAGGAAACCUCCGGGGCUAAUCGAGGCGCUCGCGGCCUAUCAGCUAGUUGGCGGGGUAACGGCCCACCAAGGCAAUGACGGGUAGCUGGUCUGAGAGGAUGGCCAGCCACAUUGGGACUGCGACACGGCCCAGACUCCUACGGGAGGCAGCAGUGGGGAAUAUUGCGCAAUGGACGAAAGUCUGACGCAGCGACGCCGCGUGUAGGAUGAAGCCUUUCGGGGCUGUAAACUACUGUUGCCCCGGGACGAAAACCCCUCCUUUUCGAGGAGAUUGACGGUACCGGGUGAGGAAGCACCGGCUAACUCUGUGCCAGCAGCCGCGGUAAUACAGAGGGUGCGAGCGUUGUCCGGAAUCACUGGCGUAAAGGGUGCGUAGGUGGCUUGGUAAGCGUGUGGUGAAAGUCCGGGGCUCAACCCCGGCAUCUGCCGUGCGAAACUGCUAGGCUUGAGCUAUGUAGAGGCAGGUGGAAUUUCGGGUGUAGCGGUGGAAUGCGUAGAGAUCCGAAAGAACACCAGUGGCGAAGGCGGCCUGCUGGGCCAUAUGCUGACACUGAGACACGACAGCGUGGGGGAGCAAACAGGAUUAGAUACCCUGGUAG